UACGUAGGGGGCAAGCGUUGUCCGGAAUCAUUGGGCGUAAAGCGCGUGUAGGCGGUUCAGUAAGUCUGCUGUGAAAGUCCAGGGCUCAACCCUGGGAUGCCGGUGGAUACUGCUGGACUAGAGUGCGGAAGAGGCGAGUGGAAUUCCCGGUGUAGCGGUGAAAUGCGCAGAUAUCGGGAGGAACACCAAUUGCGAAGGCAGCUCCGCUGGGACGUUACUGACGCUGAGACGCGAAAGCGUGGGGAGCAAACAGG
Molecule: ribosomal RNA, 254 nt
Filed under: uncultured bacterium
Lineage: Bacteria
Description: partial 16S ribosomal RNA
Rfam family: Bacterial small subunit ribosomal RNA
Source: RNAcentral